CGGAGGGUGCAAGCGUUAAUCGGAAUUACUGGGCGUAAAGCGCACGCAGGCGGUCUGUUAAGUCAGAUGUGAAAUCCCCGGGCUUAACCUGGGAACUGCAUUUGAAACUGGCAGGCUUGAGUCUCGUAGAGGGGGGUAGAAUUCCAGGUGUAGCGGUGAAAUGCGUAGAGAUCUGGAGGAAUACCGGUGGCGAAGGCGGCCCCCUGGACGAAGACUGACGCUCAGGUGCGAAAGCGUGGGGGGCAAACAGGAUU
This 254-nucleotide ribosomal RNA is filed under the name uncultured bacterium. RNAcentral's name for it is "partial 16S ribosomal RNA". It matches the Rfam family "Bacterial small subunit ribosomal RNA", at positions 526 to 779 of the family's 1533-position model. The record is from RNAcentral.